Molecule: ribosomal RNA, 301 nt
Filed under: uncultured bacterium
Lineage: Bacteria
Description: partial 16S ribosomal RNA
Rfam family: Bacterial small subunit ribosomal RNA
Source: RNAcentral
CAGUCGCCGCGGUAAUACGAAGGGUGCAAGCGUUACUCGGAUUUACUGGGCGUAAAGCGUGCGUAGGUGGUGGUUUAAGUCCGUUGUGAAAGCCCUGGGCUCAACCUGGGAAUUGCAGUGGAUACUGGGUCACUAGAGUGUGGUAGAGGAUAGUGGAAUUUCCGGUGUAGCAGUGAAAUGCGUAGAGAUCGGAAGGAACAUCUGUGGCGAAGGCGACUAUCUGGGCCAACACUGACACUGAGGCACGAAGGCGUGGGGAGCAAACAGGAUUAGAUACCCGUGUAGUCCCUGUCUCUUAUAA